Molecule: ribosomal RNA, 250 nt
Filed under: uncultured bacterium
Lineage: Bacteria
Description: partial 16S ribosomal RNA
Rfam family: Bacterial small subunit ribosomal RNA
Source: RNAcentral
UACGUAGGUGGCGAGCGUUAUCCGGAAUGAUUGGGCGUAAAGGGUGCGCAGGCGGUCCUGCAAGUCUGGAGUGAAACGUAUGAGCUCAACUCAUGCAUGGCUCUGGAAACUGGAGGACUGGAGAGCAGGAGAGGGCGGUGGAACUCCAUGUGUAGCGGUAAAAUGCGUAGAUAUAUGGAAGAACACCAGUGGCGAAGGCGGCCGCCUGGCCUGUUGCUGACGGCUGAGGCACGAAAGCGAUGGGAGCAAA